GCGGCGGACGGGUGAGUAAUGCCUAGGAAAUUGCCCUGAUGUGGGGGAUAACCAUUGGAAACGAUGGCUAAUACCGCAUGAUGCCUACGGGCCAAAGAGGGGGACCUUCGGGCCUCUCGCGUCAGGAUAUGCCUAGGUGGGAUUAGCUAGUUGGUGAGGUAAGGGCUCACCAAGGCGACGAUCCCUAGCUGGUCUGAGAGGAUGAUCAGCCACACUGGAACUGAGACACGGUCCAGACUCCUACGGGAGGCAGCAGUGGGGAAUAUUGCACAAUGGGCGCAAGCCUGAUGCAGCCAUGCCGCGUGUGUGAAGAAGGCCUUCGGGUUGUAAAGCACUUUCAGUCGUGAGGAAGGUAGUGUAGUUAAUAGCUGCAUUAUUUGACGUUAGCGACAGAAGAAGCACCGGCUAACUCCGUGCCAGCAGCCGCGGUAAUACGGAGGGUGCGAGCGUUAAUCGGAAUUACUGGGCGUAAAGCGCAUGCAGGUGGUUUGUUAAGUCAGAUGUGAAAGCCCGGGGCUCAACCUCGGAAUUGCAUUUGAAACUGGCAGACUAGAGUACUGUAGAGGGGGGUAGAAUUUCAGGUGUAGCGGUGAAAUGCGUAGAGAUCUGAAGGAAUACCGGUGGCGAAGGCGGCCCCCUGGACAGAUACUGACACUCAGAUGCGAAAGCGUGGGGAGCAAACAGGAUUAGAUACCCUGGUAGUCCACGCCGUAAACGAUGUCUACUUGGAGGUUGUGGCCUUGAGCCGUGGCUUUCGGAGCUAACGCGUUAAGUAGACCGCCUGGGGAGUACGGUCGCAAGAUUAAAACUCAAAUGAAUUGACGGGGGCCCGCACAAGCGGUGGAGCAUGUGGUUUAAUUCGAUGCAACGCGAAGAACCUUACCUACUCUUGACAUCCAGAGAACUUUCCAGAGAUGGAUUGGUGCCUUCGGGAACUCUGAGACAGGUGCUGCAUGGCUGUCGUCAGCUCGUGUUGUGAAAUGUUGGGUUAAGUCCCGCAACGAGCGCAACCCUUAUCCUUGUUUGCCAGCGAGUAAUGUCGGGAACUCCAGGG
Molecule: ribosomal RNA, 1054 nt
Filed under: Vibrio parahaemolyticus
Lineage: Bacteria; Pseudomonadati; Pseudomonadota; Gammaproteobacteria; Vibrionales; Vibrionaceae
Description: bacterial SSU rRNA
Rfam family: Bacterial small subunit ribosomal RNA
Source: RNAcentral